Molecule: ribosomal RNA, 1662 nt
Filed under: Akanthomyces tuberculatus
Lineage: Eukaryota; Fungi; Ascomycota; Sordariomycetes; Hypocreales; Cordycipitaceae
Description: partial 18S ribosomal RNA
Rfam family: Eukaryotic small subunit ribosomal RNA
Source: RNAcentral
AUGUCUAAGUAUAAGCAAUUAUACAGCGAAACUGCGAAUGGCUCAUUAUAUAAGUUAUCGUUUAUUUGAUAGUACCUUACUACUUGGAUAACCGUGGUAAUUCUAGAGCUAAUACAUGCUAAAAAUCCCGACUUCGGAAGGGAUGUAUUUAUUAGAUUAAAAACCAACGCCCUCUGGGCUCCUUGGUGAUUCAUGAUAACUUUUCGAAUCGCAGGCCCUUGCGCCGGCGAUGGCUCAUUCAAAUUUCUUCCCUAUCAACUUUCGAUGUUUGGGUAUUGGCCAAACAUGGUCGCAACGGGUAACGGAGGGUUAGGGCUCGACCCCGGAGAAGGAGCCUGAGAAACGGCUACUACAUCCAAGGAAGGCAGCAGGCGCGCAAAUUACCCAAUCCGAUUCGGGGAGGUAGUGACAAUAAAUACUGAUACAGGGCUCUUUUGGGUCUGUAAUUGGAAUGAGUACAAUUUAAAUCCCUUAACGAGGAACAAUUGGAGGGCAAGUCUGGUGCCAGCAGCCGCGGUAAUUCCAGCUCCAAUAGCGUAUAUUAAAGUUGUUGUGGUUAAAAAGCUCGUAGUUGAACCUUGGGCCUGGCUGGCCGGUCCGCCUCACCGCGUGCACUGGUCCGGCCGGGCCUUUCCCUCUGUGGAACCCCAUGCCCUUCACUGGGUGUGGCGGGGAAACAGGACUUUUACUUUGAAAAAAUUAGAGUGCUCCAGGACGGCCUAUGCUCGAAUACAUUAGCAUGGAAUAAUAAAAUAGGACGUGUGGUUCUAUUUUGUUGGUUCUAGGACCGCCGUAAUGAUUAAUAGGGACAGUCGGGGGCAUCAGUAUUCAAUUGUCAGAGGUGAAAUUCUUGGAUUUAUUGAAGACUAACUACUGCGAAAGCAUUUGCCAAGGAUGUUUUCAUUAAUCAGGAACGAAAGUUAGGGGAUCGAAGACGAUCAGAUACCGUCGUAGUCUUAACCAUAAACUAUGCCGACUAGGGAUCGGACGAUGUUAUUUUUUGACGCGUUCGGCACCUUACGAGAAAUCAAAGUGCUUGGGCUCCAGGGGGAGUAUGGUCGCAAGGCUGAAACUUAAAGAAAUUGACGGAAGGGCACCACCAGGGGUAAACCGCUUCAUGCAGCCGCAGUAGCUCUGCUCCGAAAGCAGCCCGAAAGGUCAGUGGUGUUCCUGGUCCUCCGGCGCACAACUAAGUGCUAGUCUCCUCUGAGCAACACCCUCAAAUUGCGGAAACUCCUAAAGCCAGUGUCACCAAGCCGGCGUCGAAGACGUCGGUGGCCGGGUAAUGACCUAGGUAUGGUAAAAGCACACUGAUAAUCGAAUGACGAUCCGCAGCCAAGCCUCGUCGCCGCAGGCACGGGAAGGUUCAGAGACUUGAUGGGGUGGGUGAGAGGUCGGGCGCUCGAGCCCUGAUGGUGUAAGUCGGCACGGAGCGUCGAGCCUCUGCCUUCGAGCUUAAGAUAAAGUCCGUCGCGAAACGGGGCGCUACCUGUAAACGGCAUGCGGCUUAAUUUGACUCAACACGGGAAACUCACCAGGUCCAGACACAAUGAGGAUUGACAGAUUGAGAGCUCUUUCUUGAUUUUGUGGGUGGUGGUGCAUGGCCGUUCUUAGUUGGUGGAGUGAUUUGCUGCUUAAUUGCGAUAACGAGACCUUAACCUG